AUACCGGGCCUUUUUGGGCUUGGUAAUCGGAAUGAGGGAGAGUUAAACGGACCAUCGAGUAUCCAUUGGAGGGCAAGUCUGGUGCCAGCAGCUGCGGUAAUACCAGCUCCAAUAGCGUAUAUUAAAGUUGUUGCAGUUAAAAAGCUCGUAGUUGGACUUGUGUGCGCUGUCCGCGGGUGGCCUGCGCCCAAAAGGGCGUUUCGGUUCGGCCCCGGUGGCGCCUUGAAAUCUGCAGCUGGGGGGACGUUGGCCUUAACUGGUCGGCGACCGCACGCCGGCUGCUCGGUUACUGUGAGAAAAUUAGAGUGUUCAAGGCAGGCAUUGGGAGCAAUUGAAUACAUUAGCAUGGAAUAAUAAAAUAUGGCUCCUGCCGUAUUUUGUUGGUUUUGACUGGUGGGAGUAAUGAUUGAUAGGGACGGUUGGGGGUUAGUAUUGAGCGGCCAGAGGUGAAAUUCAUGGAUUCGCUCAAGACUAACUUAUGCGAAAGCAUUCACCAAGGACGUCCUCUUUAAUCAAGAACGAAAGUUGGGGGAUCGAAGACGAUCAGAUACCGUCGUAGUCUCAACCAUAAACUAUGUCGACUUGGGAUCGGCGGUAGUUUUUUCAUUAAGACACUGUCGGGACCACGGGAGAAAUCAAAGUGUCUGGACUCUGGGGGAAGUAUGGUCGCAAGGCUGAAACUUGAAGGAAUUGACGGAAGGGCACCACCAGGAGUGGAGCCUGCGGCUUAAUUUGACCCAACACGGGGAAACUUACCAGGUCCAGAGAUGUAGAGGAUUGACAGAUUGAAGCUCUUUCUUGAUCACUUCGGUGGUGGUGCAUGGCCGUUCUUAGUUGGUGGAGUGAUUUGUCUGGUUAAUUCCGUUAACGAACGAGACCUCAGCCUGCUAGUGUAGUCGGCUGGAUUGCCUUUGGCGAUCCGUGAUUUCGACUUCUUAGAGGGACAAUCAACGCGCAGUCGAUGGAAGUUUGAGGCAAUAACAGGUCUGUGAUGCCCUUAGAUGUUCUGGGCCGCACGCGCGCUACACUGCUGGGCUCAGCGAGUUUUACUUGGCCGAGAGGCCCGGUUAAUCUUGUGAAAUCCCAGCGUGCUUGGGCUCGCCUCCUGCAACUGGAGGCGCCAACGAGGAAUUCCUAGUAGACGCAGGUCAUCAACCUGCAUCGAUUACGUCCCUGCCCUUUGUACACACCGCCCGUCGUUCCAUAAGAGUGAGGCAUCCGGUGAAUUCUCGGGAGAGCCUGGGCGUGGCCAGCAAUGGUCUGCUCGGGUUUGAACUUGCAUAAACUUGGUGCCUAUGAUUAGGG
Molecule: ribosomal RNA, 1305 nt
Filed under: metagenome
Description: SSU rRNA
Rfam family: Eukaryotic small subunit ribosomal RNA
Source: RNAcentral